Long non-coding RNA from Mytilus trossulus (common blue mussel), 471 nucleotides. RefSeq lists it as uncharacterized. The record is from RefSeq and is a predicted model, not a curated record. The transcript is spliced from 2 exons. NCBI's taxonomy places the organism in Eukaryota, Metazoa, Mollusca, Bivalvia, Mytilida, Mytilidae.
UAUAUGUUUUCAAACAACAUCCGGGUGGAAGUUUAGUUAUGAUACAUAUAUAUAUACAAACGAUGUUAUCAACAAUUGACAUUCUUAUAUGACUGAAUUCAUGUGAAGGUUGUGCAAGGUACAAUCGCAUUCGGGAUAAAAUAUAUUCAGAACAUUUGAUCGUAGAAAAGUUUUAUUUUCCAAAUGGAAAAAGAGAAGAUUUACUGUGUGUCGUGUCGGAAGAAAACAAACACAACGAAUUUAGUACCUUACACAGAUCCAAAGUCUAAGAAAAGGAUGCUCAAAGGCACUUGUACUGUAUGCAAGAAAGGAAAACCUAUGUUUGUUUGACAUGGACACUGUUUACUUUCAGUACACUAUUCUUUUUAUAUGAGAUUGUUCAGUAUGAUUUGUUUUUGUUGUACAUUAUAACCAUAUAUAUCUUAUAUACAACUAAAUGUCGAUAUCACUAAUAAUAAACUAAAAAUCUGA